This 468-nucleotide ribosomal RNA is filed under the name uncultured bacterium. Its description in RNAcentral is "partial 16S ribosomal RNA". It matches the Rfam family "Bacterial small subunit ribosomal RNA", at positions 28 to 507 of the family's 1533-position model. The record is from RNAcentral.
GACGAACGCUGGCGGCGUGCUUAACACAUGCAAGUCGAACGGAAAGGCCCUGCUUUUGUGGGGUGCUCGAGUGGCGAACGGGUGAGUAACACGUGAGUAACCUGCCCUUGACUUUGGGAUAACUUCAGGAAACUGGGGCUAAUACCGGAUAGGAGCUCCUGCUGCAUGGUGGGGGUUGGAAAGUUUCGGCGGUUGGGGAUGGACUCGCGGCUUAUCAGCUUGUUGGUGGGGUAGUGGCUUACCAAGGCUUUGACGGGUAGCCGGCCUGAGAGGGUGGCCGGCCACAUUGGGACUGCGGUACGGCCCAGACUCCUACGGGAGGCAGCAGUGGGGAAUAUUGCACAAUGGGCGGAAGCCUGAUGCAGCAACGCCGCGUGCGGGAUGACGGCCUUCGGGUUGUGAACCGCUUUCGCCUGUGACGAAGCGUGAGUGACGGUAAUGGGUAAAGAAGCACCGGCUAACUACGUG